GCCCAGGUAGCUCAGUCGGUAGAGCAGAGGACUGAAAAUCCUCGUGUCAGCGGUUCGAUUCCGUUUCUGGGCACCA
This 76-nucleotide transfer RNA is filed under the name Acidithiobacillus thiooxidans. Its description in RNAcentral is "tRNA-Phe". It matches the Rfam family "tRNA". From Rfam's summary of the family: Transfer RNA (tRNA) molecules are approximately 80 nucleotides in length. The record is from RNAcentral. RNAcentral also lists the same sequence under 4 other names. Lineage: Bacteria; Pseudomonadati; Pseudomonadota; Acidithiobacillia; Acidithiobacillales; Acidithiobacillaceae.